GCAAUUAAAAGAACAGCAGAAUUAAAAAACUUACUUAUUUAAUGAGAUGGUAUUAUCUUCGCGGACCCCCAGGGGUCCGGGGACCACAAGUUGGGAAUCACUGAUCUAUUCUAUCACGUUAAAAUUAA
Long non-coding RNA from Limulus polyphemus (Atlantic horseshoe crab), 128 nucleotides. RefSeq lists it as uncharacterized. The transcript has 4 exons. Lineage: Eukaryota; Metazoa; Arthropoda; Merostomata; Xiphosura; Limulidae. The record is from RefSeq and is a predicted model, not a curated record.